AACUCCCCAGGGGAACGGUAAAGGUCUGACUAAGGGUCAUAGUUUGGUUUGGUUACAUAGUUGUAUGCCUAGGUCUAAACUCAUGGAUUGCUACACCGGAGAUCUGCACAUUUCAUUGCACGUAAAAUCUAUUUCAAAAGGGGGAAAAAAGGAACCACCAGCAAAUAGUGAAUUCUAAUGAUACGCUUGGUGGAGUGUUUAAGGAUGAAAUGUACUUACAUCUGCAACUCACUUGGAAAUGCACGGAAAGAUGAAGCCGUGGCUCAGAGAGAUUGAGUUGUCUGCCUGAAGAUUGAUGUCCUGUUCCAUCUGUCAGCAGGGUGACUUGAAUUUAACCAUGGAGAGACAGCCCUUUGUUCUGGGGAGAAACCACCAUGGACCUGUUUGUUUUCUACAGCUACUCUUCCAAAGGGACUCCGGUGCCAUUAUUAACCUGAAUGCUGACGAGCCAAGUGUUUAUUUUGAUCGUGAAAGCUGGAUGUAUCUCUUAUCUGUGACACAAAAAUACAAGGCAAAUGAAUAGGAGAAACUGAGACCCAGAAAGGAGGGCCCUUGGCUGAGGCCAGAGACCAAGGUCCACAUCUCUGGUACACCCUGCAUAUCACCCAGAGCAGGUCUGUGCACAAAGGAGGAGCUCACUCCAUCCCUGCCAACAAGCUGACGUUAACUUUCUGCAGGUGAGUUAACACCACACACUGACACGCGCUUCCGACCUUUGCCCGAUAACCGGCUCUGGUUCAUUCAUCCACGAAUGGAAAUGAGCUCACAGAAGAGGUUACUUAACAUUACUGGCCCGAGCCCAGCCUAAUUCUCCCACAGCCAGCCACGACUGCCCGGGUCCGUGCCCCCCACUAUCUACUCCACCAAGUCUACCACUCUUCACCCCUCUUCCCCUAAGAACACACCACAGGGGCGCCUGGGUGGCUCAGUCUGUUAAGCGUCAGGCUUCGGCUCAGGUCACAAUCUCAUGGUUCGUGAGUUCCAGCCCUGCAUUGGGCUCUGUGCCGACAGCUCAGAGCCUGGAGCCUGCUUCGGAUUCUGCCUCCCUCUAUCUCUCUCUGCUCCUCCCCCGCUCGCACUUUGUCUCUCUCUCUCAAAAAAAAUUAAUAAACAUUAAAAAAAAAAUUAGAAAGGCCUUUCUUAAAAAAACAAAAGACAAAAACACACAGCACAG
Neofelis nebulosa (Clouded leopard) is the source of this 1174-nucleotide long non-coding RNA. RefSeq lists it as uncharacterized. Lineage: Eukaryota; Metazoa; Chordata; Mammalia; Carnivora; Felidae. The transcript has 3 exons. The record is from RefSeq and is a predicted model, not a curated record.